GUGGAUUAGAUACCCUGGUAGUCCACGCCGUAAACGAUGUCUACUCGGAGUUUGGUGUCUUGAACACUGGGCUCUCAAGCUAACGCAUUAAGUAGACCGCCUGGGGAGUACGGCCGCAAGGUUAAAACUCAAAUGAAUUGACGGGGGCCCGCACAAGCGGUGGAGCAUGUGGUUUAAUUCGAUGCAACGCGAAGAACCUUACCUACUCUUGACAUCCAGAGAACUUUCCAGAGAUGGAUUGGUGCCUUCGGGAACUCUGAGACAGGUGCUGCAUGGCUGUCGACAGCU
Molecule: ribosomal RNA, 288 nt
Filed under: uncultured bacterium
Lineage: Bacteria
Description: partial 16S ribosomal RNA
Rfam family: Bacterial small subunit ribosomal RNA
Source: RNAcentral